AUUUAUUAUAUUUAAUUUUUAAUAUUAGAUUUUUAAAAUAAAAAAUUAACUUUAACAAUAUUACCAAAACUAAAUAUAAAUAGGUUAGUAAUAUUUUAAAAAAUGUAUCAAUUAAUUAUAAUAAAAAUAUCAAUCAAAAAUCAAUUUUUAAAAUAAAAUUAUAGACCAAUUUAGCUAUCAUAUAUGGUGGUCUCUAACUUUAGCUACUACAUGAUGUGGUCGGUAAGAGAUUUCUAUUUUAUAUUCUUUGGUCUCUCAUUAUUUUCAAAUAGAGACCAUAUAAUGAGACCAAAUAGGACCACAAAUGGGGUAGCAAACUAAAGACCUCACAUCUUUUUUAUGGUUAUUUUUAGCAAUGAGAAUUUUAAUGACAAUGAAAUAUGGUCUCUAAAUAGUCACUAUAUGCAUUUAGCGACCAUUUAGAAAUAACAUCUGGUGCAAAUAACCAAUUUGUUGUUGACGUGGUGGGCAUUACUUGCAGUUACAAGAGUUACGAGGAAUUCCUUGCAUGCAUGCUUGUGCAUGCAUUCUUUUAAAAUAAUGAACAAUUUGAAUCAUAUGUUGAUGAAUGCUGAAAGAAAGAAGCAAAAAACCUAAAUAAGGAAAAAGGAAAUUGAAAAAGUAAAGAAAACUAUGAUGGAGGGGAAGUUAUCAAGAAAGAGGUCAUUUCUGUCAAAUGCAGUGUUUGUAGAAAAGUGGGACAUAAUAAAAGGUUCAUAAAAAAAUCAAGAGACUGUGAGUAUUAGUUCUCCCCACACACAUGUGCUUCAAUUUGUUAUUAUUUAGUGUCUUAAUAUAUUUUGUUUUAUUUGUUAUUUAUUUUAUCUUAUUGAAAGAAUUACUAGGCAGCCACUAGUUCACAUGCAUAAACAGAUUCUACUAGAGCGCAACAAGAUGUUAGGCCUGAAUCAAUACCAACUAAUGUCUUUACACCCAACAGAGAUUUCCCUCCUUAACUUGAUGCAACAAAGGAAGUACUGUUAGUUUAAGUGAUGGAUUAUAUGUAAGUGUUGUUUCUUCAAUUAUUUCAUUCAGUUUUAACCAUUAUUUUACAACAUACUAAAGUGCUAAUGUCAUAUCCCAUGUAGGUCCUAGUUGGAUAGAGAAUGUAUAUACUAUUCAAACGGAAAUUGUCCACCUCUCUUAUAGUCAAAGGAGCACAUCAUCUCAACCUCAUGUGGCUGAAACAAUUCACCCUUCGAGCCAACAUGAAAAAGAGAUGGACAGAAGGAUGAAAAGGCUAAGAUCUUAGGGAAGAGAUGUGGCAUCUAGAUUCAUACAAAACACAAGAAGACCAAGCAUUGAAUCUUAGACAUGAAUUAUGACUUUGUGGUAGUUUGUAAGCUGUACAGGACAGGCACCAUUGGCUUUUUUAUAAGGUUGUCUAUCAAAUAGAAAAUAGGUAGAAAACAUUUACUCUAACUGCUAUUUUAUUUACCUAAGUUUCUACUAUAAGGCCAUAUUUUGUUGGUGAAAUGGCACUUUUAUACCAUAUGAUUUUUAUUUUGUGUUUUACAAUUGAAACAAGAAAUUCUG
RNAcentral lists this long non-coding RNA (1536 nucleotides) under Ricinus communis (castor bean). RNAcentral's name for it is "long non-coding RNA (RCOM_LNC001950)". Lineage: Eukaryota; Viridiplantae; Streptophyta; Magnoliopsida; Malpighiales; Euphorbiaceae. The record is from RNAcentral.